UCCCUACGGGGUGCAGCAGGCGCGAAAACUUUACAAUGCGGGAAACCGUGAUAAGGGAACUCCGAGUGUCCGUAAAUGCGGACUGUCCGUAUGUCUAAAAAGCAUGCGAAGAAAGGGCCGGGCAAGACCGGUGCCAGCCGCCGCGGUAAUACCGGCGGCUCGAGUGGUGGCCACUAUUAUUGGGCUUAAAGCGUUCGUAGCUGGAUCGUUAAGUCUCUUGGGAAAUCUACCGGCUUAACCGAUAGGCGUCCAAGGGAUACUGGCGAUCUAGGGACCGGGAGAGGUGAGGGGUGCUUCAGGGGUAGGAGUGAAAUCCUGUAAUCCUUGGGGGACCACCUGUGGCGAAGGCGCCUCACCAGAACGGCUCCGACAGUGAGGGACGAAAGCUGGGGGAGCAAACCGGAUUAGAUACCCGGGUAGUCCCAGCCGUAAACGAUGCGCGUUAGGUGUAUCGAUGACCACGAGUCAUCGAGGUGCCGAAGGGAAACCGUGAAACGCGCCGCCUGGGAAGUACGGUCGCAAGGCUGAAACUUAAGGGAAUUGGCGGGGGAGCACCACAACAGGUGGAGCCUGCGGUUUAAUCGGACUCAACGCCGGAAAUCUCACCGGAUAAGACAGCUGAAUGAUAGUCGGGCUGAAGACUCUACUUGACUAGCUGAGAGGUGGUGC
This 669-nucleotide ribosomal RNA is filed under the name uncultured archaeon. RNAcentral's name for it is "bacterial SSU rRNA". It matches the Rfam family "Archaeal small subunit ribosomal RNA", at positions 319 to 993 of the family's 1478-position model. The record is from RNAcentral.